Heterocephalus glaber (naked mole-rat) is the source of this 555-nucleotide non-coding RNA. The record is from RefSeq and is a predicted model, not a curated record. NCBI's taxonomy places the organism in Eukaryota, Metazoa, Chordata, Mammalia, Rodentia, Bathyergidae.
UGGGAAAAAUUCGAUCCUGGAGUACGGGCUAUGGACGGAGGAAGAGGACUAAAGGGUGAAACUGACAAAAGUCCCCCGUUAGGCCUCAGCGUUCGCCUUAGGAUCUGAUCCAUGAGAUGUCCAGGUCGCUUCUGCCACCGAGUGGUGGCUUUGCUUCAUGGCAAGAGGCCUAGGUGGAUUCUAGAGUGGAAGAGUCAGGUCAGAAGGGAUUCAGAUCACAGCCAGAUGAAGUCAGGGUUUGUCAAUGAGGCAGAUGAGAUUCUGAUUUGAUGGACAGCCAGUCAAUGAAACAGACACACCUGCACAGUUGGAAAUGGAGGACGAAGAUACAAUUGAUGUGUUCCAGCAGCAGACAGGAGGUGUGUACUAAAAAGGGAACCUGCAACAACUCUACUUCAGAACUCUGUUCUUACAGACCAAGAAUACAUUCUCAAUUAGAAAACUGCAAUUUGGUUCCACGACAUCCUGACUACUAUAGUAUAGUUUUCUCUAUUCUUUCGUUUACCCCUUCCUCAUUCCUUUAUUGUACAUAAAGUAUCUGGUGUAUGUGCACAA